Non-coding RNA from Parasteatoda tepidariorum (common house spider), 666 nucleotides. The record is from RefSeq and is a predicted model, not a curated record. NCBI's taxonomy places the organism in Eukaryota, Metazoa, Arthropoda, Arachnida, Araneae, Theridiidae.
CUGUAAUGUUUUGCUUAUUUCUGCCCAUUUUGUGAAUGAGUUAAAAUUUUUUUAAUGUCAAAAUAACGUGAGUUAGAUUAAAGCGAAUAAUUGUCUUCUACCAUUUUCACUUAUAAACAACUUGGGUUUUGGUGGAGGGUCUCUUGUUUUAAAAUAUUGUGGUAUAUAAUAAAUACACAAUUCGUGAUACUUUCAUAACAAAUAAAUAACUAAACUGAUCUGUUUUGUGUAAUUAUUAUACAUGUUAGUUUUGACGAGUUUGAAAUGAUAAUGUUUAAUCAAUUAAGGACGUAUGCUGUUCAUGAACAAAUACUUGCUGGCGGAAAGAAUAAACGUAUGCUUUCCAAGAUGAUUGAUAAUAAAAAAAAAAGUUAAAGUAUCUCCGUGUUAGUAAACAUUGAAUGUACGCUGGUAGUUACCAUCUGCUAGUUAUGAGAAACACAAAGAAAUAGCUAUUGCCCUGAAUUCUAUAUCUCCACGACUGAGAUGCCACGUCUUACUACUUGCUGGUGAUUUAUCUCCCCACUUUGAAGACUCUGUAACUAUGAGCAGUCGACUUGAUCCAACUAAUUCAACUUGGAUGAAGGUUUAUUUUAAAUAUUCUUUUUAAUCACAAUUUGUUAUAUGUUUCUUUAUUUUAUAACCGUCGUUGAACAGCCGACCCAA